GAUCAUCCAACUAUCGAAGAAUGAUAUUAUUCGGUAUUACUGGGCUUAAAGCGUGUGUAGGCGGAAUCAUAAGCGUCUUGUGAAAUCCCCCGGCUUAACCGGGGAAUUGCUCGACGAACUGUAAUUCUUGAGGCAAGUAGGGGUGCAUGGAACUCUUGGUGGAGCGGUGGAAUGCGUAGAUAUCAAGAGGAACGCCAGUGGUGAAGACGGUGCACUGGGCUUGUCCUGACGCUGAGACACGAAAGCGUGGGGAGCGAACGGGAUUAGAUACCCCGGUAGUCCACGCUGUAAACGAUGCCUACUAGGUCGUGGUGGUUCUGACACCAGCACGGCCGAAGCAAAAGUGUUAAGUAGGCCGCCUGGGGAGUACGGUCGCAAGGCUAAAACUCAAAGGAAUUGACGGGCUCACACAAGCGGUGGAGCAUGUGGAUUAAUUCGAAUCAACGCGCAGAACCUUACCUGGGUUUGACAUGCUUGGAUGCUUGCUUGGAAACAGGUUAAGCUGCCCUUCGGGGUGAAACUUGCACAGGUGCUGCAUGGCUGUCGUCAGCUCGUGUCGUGAGAUGUCGGGUUAAGUCCUUUAACGAGCGAAACCCUUGCCGUUAGUUGCCAGCGGGUAAUGCCGGGGACUCUAGCGGGACUGCCGGUGUUAAACCGGAGGAAGGUGGGGAUGACGUCAAGUCAUCAUGGCCUUUAUGCCCAGGGCCUCACACGUGCUACAAUGGCGGAUACAGAGCGAAGCAAGACCGCGAGGUGGAGCAAAUCGCAAAAAGUCCGCCCCAGUUCGGAUUGCAGGCUGUCAACUCGCCUGCAUGAAGGUGGAAUCGCUAGUAAUCGCGUAUCAGCUAUGACGCGGUGAAUGUGUUCCUGAGCCUUGUACACACCGCCCGUCAAGUGAUGGGGGUUGGGAGUACCCGAAGUCGGGUUGCCAACCUUUCGAGGGGGCGCCUGCCGACGGUAAGCCCGAUGACUGGCACUCGAAACAAGGUA
Molecule: ribosomal RNA, 990 nt
Filed under: metagenome
Description: bacterial SSU rRNA
Rfam family: Bacterial small subunit ribosomal RNA
Source: RNAcentral